CCAGGUCCCAAAGAGUCAGCUCGCCGCUCCGUUGCGCCUCUCACCACUGCGCACCUCACCUCUCUGCGCCUCUGCCCCGACCCUGCCGCGUUCCCAGCCUCGGAGGGACCCCCGAGUUCCUGCUCCAGCGCCCUCUAAUGGCCAAGACCUGGGGAGCGCAGGAGAAAAGCAGGGAGACACUGUGCAGUAGGAGAGAAAUAUGAGAACCCCAAUCUCAGGAUUCAAGGUCUGGGGAUCACUGAAGGAAAGGCUCUGUAAACUCCUGUUCGUUUCUUCCCUGCACAGCUGCAAGAUCACAAGACAGAGACGCAUAACCUGCAAACCAAGUUUUCCCAGACAUUGUGAGCGUGCACACAUGUGCUUGGGAAACAAAUCCCAGACAUACGGACUGUGCUAUUAAUCAUCAAAGAAAAAGUCCAGAAACAAUGACGAUCUUGUAGCAAUGAGCAAUGGGCAACCCGAGUGUCCAGAUGAUGGUGUCCAAGUACCAUUUUCCUGUCAAAGAAACCAAGAUUCCUUGCAGAUAUACGACUGAUCCGAGGUCCAGGGCAGGAAAUGUGGAAGACUAGAAAACAGACCUGGAGAGAAAAACACUGUCCACCUUAUGUACUGCGAAAGCCCUGGGAGUCCCUGCGAGGAGUAACUACACAGGCCUGGAAUUAGCCUGAGCUGUCUUGCCAAAUCAUCAACGUGCAUCUGUAGGGCACUGACUCCUAGUCAAGGCACAAAACAUGUUCAUGAACAGUGUUGCCUUAUAACUAUGGGUCCUAAGUGGUUGAGGAUGGUUUGUACCAGCUUGUCAGCAUUGUUUAUUGACAAAAAUGAGCAUGAACUCUGUAAUUUCUUCCUUCUCUAAAAUCUUAGAUUAAAUCAUUUUUCCAAACAUGCUCAUUUCAUGUUUAUUGUAACCAGUCUCACUAAGACCCCUGGAGAGCUCGGCUGUUGAAACUGGUUACAUAGCAGGAAUCUAUGGGGCCAAGAAAAUACUAAAAAUAUUCAAGCAUGUGAGAUGGCUUGAAUAUAAAAAUAUUCAAGCAUGUGAGAUGGCCUGUGGCUGCAAAGUAUUAGGUUGGUGCAAAAGUAAUUGCAAUUUUUUUUUUUUUUGAGAUGAAGUCUGGCUCUAUUGCCCAGGCUGGAGUGCAGUAGCACAAUCUCGGCUCACUACAACCUCUGCCUCCCAGGUUCAAGUGAUUCUCAUGCCUCUCAGCCUCCCAAGUAGCUGGGAUUAUAGGCACGUGUCACCACGCCUGGCUAAUUUUUGUAUUUUUUGUAGAGACGGGGUUUCGCCAUGCUGGCCAGGCUAGUCUCAAACUUCUGACCUCAAGUGAUCCACCUGCCUCAGCUACCCAAAGUGCUGGGAUUACAGGCAUGAGCUACCACACCCAGCCAGUAAUUGCAGUUUUUGUCAUUACUUUCAACAGCAAAAACCGCAAUUACUUUUGCACCAACCUAAUCAUCUUUACUUUAAUGCUGAUGCCAUGUAGUAUCCUUUCCUGCAAGAAAUGCCAAUGUGUUUCUUAUCAUUUUGGGUCAUCUGAGUCUUAAAAACAUUGUUAAAGAGCAAUUGAACCCUGUUUAACUGCCAUUAGAGCACUGGCUAAGAACCUGCCACAUGGUAGACACCCAAACAUUCCUUAAAUUAGUUGAUUGAUAAAGAGAAGCUGAGUGUUCUGACUUUUUGUCCACUAUGAGCUCUUACAAAAGUUCUCAUUAGCACUGAAGAGAAACAAAUGUAAUUCAGCAUGAUAUUAAUACAUACCUCUCUCCCCAAAAGACAAAGAGCCUAUAAUUUUCACUUUUUGUUCCUAAUAGCGUCUAUUCAUCUCAAUAAUGAUUAAAAUGAUAUAAGUGGGAAGACUUUAGCACCUGCUACAAAAUGUUGGUUUGCAAGUACCUUUCUCCUCUCUCAGAGCCACCAUGCUUGAGUAGUGUCAGCACACGUCUCAGGGGCAAGUGUCAUCACCUGACCUUGGAAAUGGCCAGUGAUAGUGGACAUCUACACCUAAAACACUUAGAUUUGUAUUUAAAUGCUUAAUCUCAACAUUAAAGAGAAAAAUCUGUGUAUACAUUUACAAAACUAGUACAAAAAUUUUAAAAACUGCUCAUAAACUUAUAUAAAAGCUGUUGAUGCCCUUAGAAGAAUGAAACAAAUCAAAGCCCAUUCAUAUAUCUCUUGCAUCUAAAGAUGAAGUGAUUCCCAAAGGCUGCAAUUUAAGUUCAGUGGCACUGCUGUAAAUCACUUCAACCAAAUCCCAAUUCAGUGGCUGAAGAUGGAUGGCAAAUAUUUGGUUAUUUAGACAACAAUAAAAAUUACAGUAAUUUUAAAAAUUACACCCCAACCUAAUUCUUUUACCGCAGAAGUAAGUAUCUCAAUUAUUCUACAGUGAAAAACAAAAUGGAAUUUUCCAAGGCUACUUCCCUUGUAAAGACAAACCAAUAGCUCUAACUCUAUAAUUGUACACAUCAAAGGGCAAGAGCCCAAGCAAAGGCAAUGCUGAAAGAUCACAGUGCUCUGAAAACAGACGUUGUGGACCAUGGCUGAGUGGAUGGAAGUGGAAUCCUAAAUCCUUUGGAAUAUUGUCUUUUUGGAAAUAGUGAAAAAAAUAAAUCGAAAUGAUGACAACAGCAUAUACGUAUUAUAAUAUUUCAGUAAAAAUCACAUAGCGAGGCCGAGUACAGUGGCUCACAUCUGUAAUCUCAGCACUGUGACCCCAAGUGGGUCAGCAGAAAGACCAUGAGCAGGGAGAGGCGGGCAGAUCACAAGGUCAAGAGAUUGAGACCAGCCUGGCCAACAUGGUGAAAUCCCAUCUCUACUAAAAAUACAAAAAUUAGCUAGGCAUGGUGGCGCAUGCCUGUAGUCCCAGCUACUUGGGAGGCUGAGGGAGGAGAAUCACUUGAACCCAAGAGGCAGAGGUUGCAGUGAGCCGAGUUCACGGCACAGCACUCCAGCCUGGCGACAGAGCGAGACUCCGUCUAAAAAAAAAAAAAUCACAUAGAAAUAUUUAUAUACUCCAAGGAGUACAAGACUCUAGCAUCCAGUUCUAACACUUACUAUUUGCCUUUCAGCAAGUUACUUAAACCCUUCUGGCCCUUUUUUUCUCAUCUAGAAAACUGGCAUAAUUAAUAAUAUCUACUUCAUAGGCAUUAGUUACAUAGAUUAAAUGAUGUUACCCACAUAAAAUUGCUUAGGUAGAGCCUUGGACUUAGUAAACACUCAGUACAUGUCAGCAGUGUUUUUAUUAUCAUCGUUAUUAUUACAGAAAUUUUAUUCUCAGACCUAUUCAAAGUGCACAACUUCAGAUGUAAGGUGCUAUCAUCAUAAAUAAUAAUUUUCUUUACUGUGAUAUGAUCGGGUUGUAUUUUUCCAUUUAUAUUGUUGUACCUAUUUGAAGUUAAGUAAGCUUCAAAACAAAUCACUAUUCACUACUUCAUUUGAUCCUCACAACAAUGCUGACAUAGAGAGAGACAGGGGAGAGACUAUCCUCAAGUUACAGAUAAACUCCAGUUUCAGCUGAAAUUUAGGGAGGAAAGUGACUUGACCAAAGCCAUGCAACUAGUUACCGGCAGUGAAUGGAUUCCACGGGCACCCUGUAUAACUGCUCCUUCAGGGUUGAUACGGUUUGGCCCUGUGUCCCCACUCAAAUCUCAUCUCAAAUUGUAAUCCCCGUAAUCUCCAUGUAUCAAGGGAGGUGCCAGGUGGGAGGUGAUGUGAUCGUGGUGGUGGUUCCCCCAUGCUAGUCUCAUGAUGGUGAGAGUUCUCACGAGACGUGAUGGUUUUAUAAGGCAGUUUUUCCUGCUCUUCCUCACUCUCUUUCACCUGCCACUAUGUAAGACGUGCCUCUUCCCCUUUCGCCCUGACUGUAAGUUUCCUGAGGCUUCCCCAGCCAUGCAGAACUGUAAGUCAAAUAAACCACUUUUCUUUAUAAAUUACCCAGUCUUGGAUAUGUCUUUAUCGCAGUAUGAGAACAGACUAAUACAAGGGGUCGUCCCAUCAUUUCAGGCUUCUCCAAAAUACC
RNAcentral lists this long non-coding RNA (4016 nucleotides) under Homo sapiens (human). Its description in RNAcentral is "HSALNT0138376". The record is from RNAcentral. Lineage: Eukaryota; Metazoa; Chordata; Mammalia; Primates; Hominidae.